GACCCGUUAGCUCAGUCGGCAGAGCAACUGCCUUUUAAGCAGUGGGCCCGGGGUUCGAAUCCCCGACGGGUCACCA
Molecule: transfer RNA, 76 nt
Filed under: Oscillospiraceae bacterium
Lineage: Bacteria; Bacillati; Bacillota; Clostridia; Eubacteriales; Oscillospiraceae
Description: tRNA-Lys
Rfam family: tRNA
About the family: Transfer RNA (tRNA) molecules are approximately 80 nucleotides in length. Their secondary structure includes four short double-helical elements and three loops (D, anti-codon, and T loops).
Source: RNAcentral